Molecule: ribosomal RNA, 497 nt
Filed under: uncultured bacterium
Lineage: Bacteria
Description: partial 16S ribosomal RNA
Rfam family: Bacterial small subunit ribosomal RNA
Source: RNAcentral
GACGAACGCUGGCGGCGUGCCUAAUACAUGCAAGUUGAGCGCUGAAGGUUGGUACUUGUACCAACUGGAUGAGCAGCGAACGGGUGAGUAACGCGUGGGGAAUCUGCCUUUGAGCGGGGGACAACAUUUGGAAACGAAUGCUAAUACCGCAUAAAAACUUUAAACACAAGUUUUAAGGUUGAAAGAUGCAAUUGCAUCACUCAAAGAUGAUCCCGCGUUGUAUUAGCUAGUUGGUGAGGUAAAGGCUCACCAAGGCGAUGAUACAUAGCCGACCUGAGAGGGUGAUCGGCCACAUUGGGACUGAGACACGGCCCAAACUCCUACGGGAGGCAGCAGUAGGGAAUCUUCGGCAAUGGACGAAAGUCUGACCGAGCAACGCCGCGUGAGUGAAGAAGGUUUUCGGAUCGUAAAACUCUGUUGGUAGAGAAGAACGUUGGUGAGAGUGGAAAGCUCAUCAAGUGACGGUAACUACCCAGAAAGGGACGGCUAACUACGUG